AAUAGAUACCCUGGUAGUCCACGCCGUAAACGAUGAGUGCUAGGUGUUGGGGGGACCCCCCUCAGUGCCGCAGGUAACCCAAUAAGCACUCCGCCUGGGGAGUACGGUCGCAAGACUGAAACUCAAAGGAAUUGACGGGGGCCCGCACAAGCGGUGGAGCAUGUGGUUUAAUUCGAAGCAACGCGAAGAACCUUACCAGGGCUUGACAUCCCGCUGACCGGUGUAGAGAUAUGCCUUUCCCCUUCGGGGGACAGCGGUGACAGGUGGUGCAUGGUUGUCGUCAGCUCGUGUCGUGAGAUGUUGGGUUCAGUCCCGCAACGAGCGCAACCCUUGUUUCUAGUUGCCAGCACUUCGGGUGGGCACUCUAGAGAGACAGCCGGUGAAAGCCGGAGGAAGGUGGGGAUGACGUCAAAUCAUCAUGCCCCUUAUGUCCUGGGCUACACACGUGCUACAAUGGCUGGUACAAAGGGCAGCGAACCCGCGAGGGGAGCCAAUCCCAAAAAACCAGUCUCAGUUCGGAUUGCAGGCUGCAACUCG
This 537-nucleotide ribosomal RNA is filed under the name uncultured bacterium. RNAcentral's name for it is "bacterial SSU rRNA". It matches the Rfam family "Bacterial small subunit ribosomal RNA", at positions 777 to 1314 of the family's 1533-position model. The record is from RNAcentral.